UGGAGAUGAGAGGGAGCCAAAAUCCAAGCAGAGAGGCAACAUGGUUUGAAACCUAAGCAAGAUCAGACCUAGCUAAUACUUGGAUGGAGUACAUUAGGGAAUGUCCAUGGAAAUAUCAACAGAUUUACCAGAAUAUGUUCAUUGCUCUAUGCAGUGGAACAUUUACUUCUUUUUAAAGUACCCAUAACUUCCUUUUGUUUUCUUAUCAAUAUGGAUCAACAUCUGCAAGGAAGUUAGACUUUCAUAAAGUGAUGAACCUUCCCAAGUGG
Molecule: long non-coding RNA, 269 nt
Organism: Pantherophis guttatus
Lineage: Eukaryota; Metazoa; Chordata; Lepidosauria; Squamata; Colubridae
Source: RefSeq, a predicted model, not a curated record